Non-coding RNA from Paramisgurnus dabryanus, 426 nucleotides. The record is from RefSeq and is a predicted model, not a curated record. Lineage: Eukaryota; Metazoa; Chordata; Actinopteri; Cypriniformes; Cobitidae.
CUCCAUAUCAGGACUUGGAUUAUCCAGAGCUUGUCUGCACCACACAAUGGGACUCAAGGCUUUUUGUAGAGGACUGUUCAAUUUUGCCUCAUAUAACCUGCGAACACACAACCAAGAGCAUUAAUAAAUGAACAGCAAACAAUGACCCUCUAUGGCUGCAGGAUCUAAGCCGAGAGGUUCAAACUUCUGCUUCCAGAGUGCCAUCCCUUUAAGCUCGCUUAGAUGAUACAGCAAAGCCUCAGAGCCACUGUGACUAAUAACUAGUUUCUGGAUGCCGGAGUAGGACGACUCAGUGGAUUGACCCAACAUCUUCAAUCCCUAAAAAGAAACAAAAACAAUACUAUAAAAACAUACAAUAAGGCUGGUAUAACUGUUUCAGAGAACCUGUUCAGAUAAAUUCACCUUGACUGUAAGUUGAUUCAUAAG